This 445-nucleotide ribosomal RNA is filed under the name uncultured Glomus. RNAcentral describes it as "SSU rRNA". It matches the Rfam family "Eukaryotic small subunit ribosomal RNA", at positions 569 to 1022 of the family's 1831-position model. Lineage: Eukaryota; Fungi; Glomeromycota; Glomeromycetes; Glomerales; Glomeraceae. The record is from RNAcentral.
AGCAGCCGCGGUAAUUCCAACUCCAAUAGCGUAUAUUAAAGUUGCUGCAGUUAAAAGCUCGUAGUUGAAUUUCGGGACUGAUAUGUCGGUCGUGCCUCGGUACGUACUGGUAUUUUUGGUUUCUCCCUUCUGACGAACCUUGAUGUCAUUAAUUUGGUGUCUUGGGAAAUCAGGACUGUUACUUUGAAAAAUUAGAGUGUUUAAAGCAGGCUCACGCUUGAAUACAUUAGCAUGGAAUAAUGAAAUAGGACGUUUGAUUCUAUUUUGUUGGUUUCUAGGAUCGACGUAAUGAUUAAUAGGGAUAGUUGGGGCAUUAGUAUUCAAUUGUCAGAGGUGAAAUUCUUGGAUUUAUUGAAGACUAACUACUGCGAAAGCAAUUUGCCAAGGAUGUUUUCAUUAAUCAAGAACGAAAGUUAGGGAUCGAAGACGAUCAGAUACCGUCGUA